This 1245-nucleotide ribosomal RNA is filed under the name metagenome. RNAcentral describes it as "bacterial LSU rRNA". It matches the Rfam family "Bacterial large subunit ribosomal RNA", at positions 1564 to 2818 of the family's 2925-position model. The record is from RNAcentral.
UGAAUACGAGACGCUAAGGCGUCGAAGUAGUGUAUGUCAUACUUCCAAGAAAAGCUUGCACUGUCAUAGAUAAAAAACGCCUGUACCAUAACCGACACAGGUGGGUAGGUAGAGUAUACUAAGGGGCGCGAGAUAACUCUCUCUAAGGAACUCGGCAAAAUAACUCCGUAACUUCGGGAGAAGGAGUGCCUUAUUCUUAAGGUUGCAAUAACAAGAUCCAAGCAACUGUUUAUCAAAAACACAGGUCUCCGCUAAGUCGUAAGACGAUGUAUGGGGGCUGACGCCUGCCCAGUGCCAGAAGGUUAAAGAAGCUGGUUUGCAUUUGCGAAGCUAGUAACUGAAGCCCUGGUGAACGGCGGCCGUAACUAUAACGGUCCUAAGGUAGCGAAAUUCCUUGUCGGGUAAGUUCCGACCCGCACGAAAGGCGUAAUGAUUUGGAUACUGUCUCGGAGAGGGGCUCGGUGAAAUAGACUUGUCUGUGAAGAUGCGGACUACCUGCACCAGGACAGAAAGACCCUAUGAAGCUUUACUGUAACUUGAAAUUGAAAUUGGACUUUAUUCGCGCAGUAUAGGUGGGAGGCGUUGAUUAUAAUCUUGCGGGAUUAUUGGAGCCAUUAGUGAGAUACCACUCUUGUAAUGUUAGAUUUCUAACUUUGAAUCAUUAUCUGGUCAAAGAACAGUUUCAGGCGGGCAGUUUGACUGGGGCGGUCGCCUCCCAAACGGUAACGGAGGCGUACAAAGGUUUCCUCUGAACGGUUAGAAAUCGUAUCUAGAGUGUAAAGGCAUAAGGAAGCUUGACUGUGAGACCUACAAGUCGAGCAGGGACGAAGGUCGGUCUUAGUGAUCUGACGGUACUGAGUGGAAAGGCCGUCACUCAACGGAUAAAAGUUACUCUAAGGAUAACAGGCUGAUCUCCCCCAAGAGUUCACAUCGACGGGGAGGUUUGGCACCUCGAUGUCGGCUCAUCGCAUCCUGGGGCGGUAGUACGUCCCAAGGGUUGGGCUGUUCGCCCAUGAAAGCGGUACGCGAGCUGGGUUCAGAACGUCGUGAGACAGUUCGGUCCAUAUCCGGUGUAGGCGUUAGAAUAUUGAGAGGAGCCUUCUUUAGUACGAGAGGACCGAGAAGGACAUACCUCUGGUGUACCAGUUAUCGUGCCAACGGUAGACGCUGGGUAGCUAUGUAUGGAGUGGAUAACCGCUGAAAGCAUCUAAGUGGGAAGCCCACCUCAAGAUAAGUAUUCUCAUC